Molecule: long non-coding RNA, 638 nt
Organism: Lontra canadensis (Northern American river otter)
Lineage: Eukaryota; Metazoa; Chordata; Mammalia; Carnivora; Mustelidae
Exons: 3
Source: RefSeq, a predicted model, not a curated record
UCCAAUUAGCCUGACUAACCUGGAAGGAGAGAAGACAACCUGAGGCCAGUAGCAGAAAAAGGAUCAGCCCUCAAAGGCAUCCACAAGUCAUCUGGACAAUAAGGGGAGCCCAUGAUGUGUGUUUCCCUACCACAGAGUGGAUUUGUUGGGAAGUGACUGCCAAUCAAGGACUAACUCAAGAACUGAGAUCAUACUGCAUAUGCUGUUUGGUGACCUGCUCUACUUUCAUUGAAUAAGUCAUUAUGAAUUUUCUUUUGCCACUAGAUACAUGUCAGCAGUGUGAUACGUAGCUUCAAAGAAGGUUCCCAGUGACCUCUGUUCUCUUGCAUCCUCACCAUCAUGGAAUGCACCCCCUGGAGCACGGGUGGGACGGAUUUACUUCUAACCCACUGAAAGUGGCAAGAGUGAUGGGAUGUCAGUCAGAGAUUAGGUCACAAAAUCACUCUGGCUGCUGUCGUGCUCACCUGCUCCUGUUCUCUAGCUUGUUUAUGGUGAUGAAACCAACUGCUAUGUUGUGAACUAUUCUACAGAAAGGAGGGCCAUGGAACGGAGGGAGGUCUCCAACCAGCAGGCUUAGGGAACCUGAAUCCUGCCCACACCCACUUGAGUGAACCUGGAAGUGGAUCGUCGCCAAGUUA